Molecule: transfer RNA, 86 nt
Filed under: Pelagomonas calceolata
Lineage: Eukaryota; Pelagophyceae; Pelagomonadales; Pelagomonadaceae
Source: RNAcentral
UUUUUAUUCUAGAAUAAGGUAUGCAUUUCGUUGUAAUAAAUUCAAAAAUUUUUGGAAACUAUUAGACGUUAAGGUCAGAAUAGAUU